GACGAAAAAUGUUGUUUUGGGUCUCGGACCACUAUAGAUUUUUGGCUUUUACGGAAUGAAUUGGAUUUUUUUUAACUGCCUGACUGUUGCACAUGGGAUGAUUUCAUUACAGAUUUGCAAUGGUAUGACAUAUAUGUUCUUAACAAAAUGUGUUUUCUUUUUCCAGGUUGUGUAGUUUGGGAUCAGAUUUAUCAGACAUAUUGCUUGUAGGACAUUGACGGCAGAAACUUGAAAUUUAGUGUGGAGUGCUACCUUAAGGUUGUUUAGUUUGGGAUCAGAUUUAUCAGACAUAUUGCUUGUAGGACAUUGACGGCAGAAACUUGAAAUUUAGUGUGGAGUGCUACCUUAAGUAU
This is a long non-coding RNA of Ruditapes philippinarum (Manila clam), 353 nucleotides long. RefSeq lists it as uncharacterized. The record is from RefSeq and is a predicted model, not a curated record. The transcript has 2 exons. Lineage: Eukaryota; Metazoa; Mollusca; Bivalvia; Venerida; Veneridae.